This 804-nucleotide long non-coding RNA is filed under the name Sinocyclocheilus rhinocerous. RNAcentral's name for it is "lncRNA (ENSSRHG00000019634.1)". Lineage: Eukaryota; Metazoa; Chordata; Actinopteri; Cypriniformes; Cyprinidae. The record is from RNAcentral.
UGCGUGGGGCAAAGCGUGCGUAAAAUGAAGCGGCGCGUGACAAAACGCACAUGUUCGUUUGGCUUGGUGAUGCGAGUUUGGAGAGUCGGGCCAAACUGAAUCGUGCGCCUUGCGUUGCUCGCCUUUUCCCGUUAGCUAUGCCCGGGCACUUUUCCGCUGAAAUAAAAGCUUGAUGGCUGAGCUGUGUCAUUGCAACUAAAGCUUGGGACGUCCACUUUAAAGUUAAGAUUCCUGUGCCGAAGGACUUCCCACCCUCCAAUACCGCCCCGCAGCUUUUCCCGCAUUGCUAUGAGCUCACCGUGUGACCACAUCGUUGCAGUAGCGUACCGCACGGCACAGUACGGACAGCUGGGCGUCAACACAGUUCCGCCUCCUCUGUACUGAAAGUGAUGAGACUCGUCACCGACUCAUAACAAUGGUGAGUUAAAGGUCCCAUAUUGUCAAACGUUAACUGAGGUCUAGGGGCUAUUUAACUAGCAUAUAAGUUUCAAAACAGUCAGUCCACAGUAAAAUGCACACAGCCUGCAUAAAGUAGGUGUGAUUUUUCACGAUCCAUUGUGACUUGCGUAAAAAGGUGACGUCAGAACUACACAGUCACCGCCUUCAGUCACCACCCUGAGCCAUGGGCGUAGCUUGUGGGGGGGCCAGGGGGGCCUGGCUCCCCCACAGCGAUUUAAGAAUUGUACAAAAUAUUUAUUGAUAUAGUUUUUUCUGUGAAGUAAAACUGCAUAUAAUGCAGUUAAUAAUACAUGUAAAAGUGAAUACAUUUUAAAUUGUUAUUGUAAGUAAAUUAAUAAAUCAAGA